Molecule: long non-coding RNA, 18891 nt
Filed under: Lathyrus oleraceus (garden pea)
Lineage: Eukaryota; Viridiplantae; Streptophyta; Magnoliopsida; Fabales; Fabaceae
Description: Pisum sativum (pea) long non-coding RNA (PSAT_LNC004093)
Source: RNAcentral
UAUAUCAUCUGUUGUGGCUGUAUUGGAACUCAAACAUAGUAUCUUGUACAAGUUUCCAUCACUUUUUGUGGAUCUGCAUGUAACUGAAAACUGUUUUGUACGAGGUUGUCUUUGAUGAUUAUGAUGAUGUUUGUAUGGUUUUGAAAUGUUGAUUAGGCUUGAACUUGAGCUUGAGUUUAGGGAUAGUAAAACAUCCAUUUUGCUUAUUGUUUGUCUCUGCUUUUGAGAAUGCAUGCGGGUGUUCUCUUAUUUAUAGAUAGAAGAAUGUUAUUUCAAAUCGUCUUACUAUGUUAACUUUUUCUUUAACAUAUAAAUAAGUUAUUUUGAAAUAAAUAUUAUUCUUAAUUUUUAUAUUUUUUAAAUUAAUAUUGUAUGCACGGUACAUUUUAUGCUUAUGAUAAAGAAAAAUUUAUUGAUAGUUGAAACAUUCUUUAAAAUUCUAAGUGAUGAAGAGGUAUAAAAUAUAUUUCCAUAUUACAGAAAUUAUAAAUGAGCUUGAAAUUACAGAAAUUAUAAAUGAGUUUAAAAGUAGAGUAAGACAAGUGGCGGAGCUGACACAACGAUGUCCAUUGAGGAUGCAGUGGAAGCGCAAAAUAAGAUGUGCGUUGAAGGCGGCGCAGAGUGAGGUUGGCAGCGGAGUCAACCCAACGGGAGGCUGGCGAAGGAGCCUGCACAGUGGUCGCUGUCGACGAUGCGACAAAAAUUCUGGGUCGGUAGGCAAUUUGGUCUAUCAAAGUUCAGGUUCCAUUUUCUUUGCUCGCGUGGAUUGGAGUUAAAUAUUUUGUCUCGUGGAUCCAUUUGUUAAUGGAUUAUACAUUGAGCUUUUUAUGGAACUGUUAGAUUUCAGUAGUUAUAAACGUGUAUCUUUAUCAUUCUUAGCUUUACAACAUUUAGAACCAUAGAGCUGAAAAUAGAGAUAAGAGUUUGUGAAUCUCAGUGGUAAUCUUAGAGAGAGACAAUGGUAAAUUCUUAAGAGUGUGUUCUUGCAAUUUGGGAAACUCUUUAAGAUAUCAAAGGGGAUUGAGAAAUAUUUCUAAACACCUUGGAUUUGUGUGACUCAUAUAUAACGUUGGAGAGAUUGAGAAAUACUUAGGUAUAAAAUAUGGUUUGUUCUUGAGAAGUUAGGUGGCUCUUUUCUCACAACUCAUUUGUAGUCUUUUGUAACAACACUUGUAAGUAUGGUGAAUCGGAGAUCCACUUUAUCCUCUAGAGUAUGCAGUUUGAUCGAACUAGGUAAGCGAAUUGUUGUGUUUCUGGUAUUUUAUCUUCUUUUCCCGAGUUAAGUUGUUGUCUUAUUGCAUAAAGGUUAUUUUUUAUGUGAAAUUAUCUUCUUUUUCCGAGUUAAGUUGUUGUCUUAUUGCAUAAAGGUUAUUUUUUUUUAUGAAACUCAUUUAUUCUGGUUGUCAUUGUUCUUUGGGUCCACACAUCAAAUUUCUUGGUGUGAUUGAACCUUUGAAUUUUACAACAAGUAACACCCACCGCGGAGAAUUAGAUUUUGUUUACAAUUGAGCACCAUUAGUUCCCAAUGGAUGAUUAAGAUUUUUUUUUGGAAACAACUCUUUUGGAUUAUGGAAAGUGAAGAUGCAAGUAAUUUUAAUUUUAAAAAAAAUGUAUUGAAAUAUUGAAGGAUGAUGUUUCGAUGCCUACACGUCUAACAGAAGCAGAGAAGACUAAGAUAGUGAAUAAAGUAAGAAGUGACAUUAUCUUAUAUCCUAAAGAUAAAGUUCUUUAAAAAAUCGUCAGAGAGAAGACUGUGACUUUGGUGUGGGCAAAACAUGAAUCAUUGUAUAUGACAAAGUCUCUGACUCACAGGUUGUGUCCCAAACAACAACUUUACUCAUUUGAAAUGUUAGAGAACAAAUCCAUAGUGGAGCAAUUGACAAAUCAAGGGAAUAUUAAGGUGAAGAUUGAAGAUGAGUACAAGUAUCUACUCUUGUUGAACUCAAUAUCCUUAUCCUUUGAGCACUUUAUGGAUGUCCUUCUUUAUGGUUAGAAAGAUACUAAUACUUUGGAUGAAAUCCAAACGGCUGUGAGAUCCAAAGAAUAUUUAAAGAUGUAAGAUUUAAAUAUUUACGAUAGUGGUGAAGCCUUGAGUAUCUCAAGAGAAAAAUAUCAGCAUAGAGGGAAAGUACAAAUCAAAGUUAAAAUAUUUUAUUCGUCAGAAAUUCAAUCACUUUAAAAGGGAUGGUCCUAAUAAAUAAACAAGAUAAAUAAUAAAUAAAUAAUUGAAAUUACUAAAAUAAAAUAAUUAAAUAAAAAUAUAGAGAAAAGUUAGUUUUUAUUAUAUAUUUAAAAAAUAAAUAAUAAGAUAAAUAUAAAAAAUUAUUAAAUUAACCCAAAUUUUGGCUUCAAAAUUUCCUUCAACCGGUUAACAACUUUUAUAAAUAUCAGAAAUCAUUAAGUUAGCUCUAAUCUUGACCUAAUCACUUAAUAACUUUUAUACAUAAAUAUUUCCAUAAAUCUUUUUGAAUUAGUAAGACAUGGUAUGUAUGUAAAUUUUAUAUAUUAAGAAGAGUGACCCGAACGUAGAAAAUAGCUUCUAUUGUCGUUGAUUAUAUAAUCAUCAAUCUAUUUGGCAAUUAAAAUAUUUUUUAAAUAUAUCCAUGACUAGUAUACAUAAGUGAUUUGAUUAUCAAUGUAAAAUUAUUUUAUAUUGAACAUAUCCAUAACGUGGGGAGUUUAAACUUGAACUUAAAAAAGUGGUGACAAUGACAUCUAACGUAUCAAAGUUUGUUAAAUAUAAGUUGACAUUAUUCAAACAAUUAACAUUAAGAUAAUGUUUCGUAGCUGGAAUGGAAAGAGACAUGCAGCUACAAUUGGCAUUAUGAAUAUAUUGGAUACUACAUAAUUGUUGACCUUCAUGACUAUGUUUUCGGAGAUGAAUCUUAUCAUGGAUCAUGUAGGAUGUUAAAGUGUUAACUUUAUUUAAAAGUGUGCUAACUUUAUUGCCCAACAAAAUAAGUUGGGUAACAUUAUUCUACCUAAUUUUAGGUUUUGUUAAUUCUGUUUUCUAAAAUCAAUCUUAGUGACAAUGUAGGAUAUUUAAAAUUUGCACCCUUAAAAAUAAUCCUGGCAUCCUUCCAAAAUAUUUUUUUACUAUAAUAUUCUUGGUAAAGAAAAAGAAUUUUCAAUAAUAUUAGUUAUUUUUCAAAUCUUUCACAAAAACCGUGUUAAUCAUAAAAAAAACAAUAGAGACUUUUAUAAAAUAUUUACAUGUCAAAUUUCUUAGUUAAAGUUUUGCAAUUUUAUUGGCAUUUUCAUGUUCAUACUGCAUUUUUGAAAAAUCAAUGUAUUUUUACCGGCAUAUUUGAAAUCUACUGUAAAAUUCCAUAAGUCACAUGAAUUUAUAUCGGAGUUUUUGAAAAAUUCAAUAAAUCACCAUGCAUGUUUACUGACAUUUUUGAAAAGUCGGGUAAAAAUGUAUACUGUCUUUUUCUAAAAUCCAGUAAAGUGGUUAUUGGUAAUCAUAGUUUUCAAAAAUUUCAAUAAAGCCAUGUUUUUUCCGAAUGUUUUAAAAACUUUGUAGGUAUUAUUUCUUUGUUUUUUCCUUAUGUAGUGAGGACCAAAGAACGAAACAACAUGAUUGCUUCUAAACAGACUUACAGAGCUGCCAAGAGCUCUUGUCGUGUAGGGGAUAAUGACAGGGAGGAAUCACAUAUCUAGGAGGAUAUAGUAGCCCCCACUUAUUCUCAUAGGAGGAGGAUCAUUGACAAGUUAAGUGCAUCUCGUACAUUCCAGCAUAGAGGCAGGGCCGGUCCAAUCAAUUCAGAGACCAUGUUCUAAUUUUAAAAAUGGGUAUAUAUAUAUAUAUAUAUAUAUAUAUAUAUAUAUAUAUAUAUAUAUAUAUAUAUAUAUAUAUAUAUAUAUAUAUAUAUAUAUAUAUAUAUAUAUAUAUAUAUAUAUAUAUAUAUAUANNNNNNNNNNNNNNNNNNNNNNNNNNNNNNNNNNNNNNNNNNNNNNNNNNNNNNNNNNNNNNNNNNNNNNNNNNNNNNNNNNNNNNNNNNNNNNNNNNNNNNNNNNNNNNNNNNNNNNNNNNNNNNNNNNNNNNNNNNNNNNNNNNNNNNNNNNNNNNNNNNNNNNNNNNNNNNNNNNNNNNNNNNNNNNNNNNNNNNNNNNNNNNNNNNNNNNNNNNNNNNNNNNNNNNNNNNNNNNNNNNNNNNNNNNNNNNNNNNNNNNNNNNNNNNNNNNNNNNNNNNNNNNNNNNNNNNNNNNNNNNNNNNNNNNNNNNNNNNNNNNNNNNNNNNNNNNNNNNNNNNNNNNNNNNNNNNNNNNNNNNNNNNNNNNNNNNNNNNNNNNNNNNNNNNNNNNNNNNNNNNNNNNNNNNNNNNNNNNNNNNNNNNNNNNNNNNNNNNNNNNNNNNNNNNNNNNNNNNNNNNNNNNNNNNNNNNNNNNNNNNNNNNNNNNNNNNNNNNNNAUAUAUAUAUAUAUAUAUAUAUAUAUAUAUAUAUAUAUAUAUAUAUAUAUAUAUAUAUAUAUAUAAUUUUAAUGAUUAAAAAUGACAAACAAAAGAUAAAAUUAUAUAUUAACCAAAUGAAGUACCAAAAAGUUCAAAGGUAUUGUUUAAACUACUAACACCAUUUCUUACAACUUAAAUUAUCUAACUACAUAAAAAGAGUCUUCUUACGAACACCUUUUGAAGCAAAAUUGUCAACUAAGUCUUCAUAUUUUAUUGUCUCCAAAAUAUCAUUUUCAAUAGCUAUUAAUGCCAAUCCAUUAUGCCUUUCUUGUGACAUGGUAGACCGCAAGUAAGUCUUUAACAACUUCAAUUUUGAAAAACUUCUUUCUGCAAAAGAAACUGUCACAGGAAUAGUCAAUAAGAUUCUAUAUGCAAUAACUGUAUUAGGAAAAUAAUCCAAGCCUUUUAAAAAUAAUAAUAUAUCAGUAGGUCUUAUGGUUUCUUCAGGCAACAUUUCUCUUAGUAACUUCAACUCUACAAAGAAUUCAUUCCCAUCAAUAUUAGAUUGCUCAUUAUGUUUCAAUGUCUGCUCAAAGUUAGUACAACAAGACUUCAAAGUUGCAUCAUCUAAUGAUUGUAACUUGUGAGAAGUAAACAAGAAACCAAAAAUACUUUCAUACUCUUGGUAUUUAUUGCUCAAACCUCUUAUUAAGAGAAACAACAGCUUGAUCAACAAGGUAAAGAAAAUAAUUAACCCUGAAUGAUUCUUCUUCUGAUAGCUCGAAUGAUGGGAUAUUCAAAUUCUCAUCAAAUUGCCCUUUUCUUUUAAUUAUACGCCUUUGAGGAAAUAUUGGGGCAAUAUUCAAUUCCACCGCAAUUUCCUUAGCGUUAAUCAAUACCUUAUAAAAACCUAUUUCUCUAUAUCCCUCAAAAUACGAAAUCAAUCCCUUAAUUUUUUGCAUAGCAACAUCAAUAAGCAUAUCCUUUUCCUAUAAAAGCUUGCUAACAAAAUUAAUUGCAGAUAAUAUUUCAAACCAAAUAACUAUAGCCAUCAAAAACUCAAAAUCACCAAGCUCAUUUGUUGCUAAGGAUUUAGCUUCAUUUUGUAUUUUAGGAUCAAGAUCAUUUUCUGACACUUCAAGCAAAACUUCUGUAAAUUCUAACAUUUGAGUUCUUAUAGCUUUGACACUUUCUACACGACUCUACCAACGAGUGGAUGACAAUGAUUUUGGAGUCAACCCUUUUACAUUAUCUUUCAAAAUUUGCCAUCUCUUUGUAGAAUUGACAAAAAUUGUAUAAAUGCGUUGAACAACUCCAAAAAAAAUCCUAGCUUUAAUACAAGAGUUAGCCAUAUCACACAAUGCCAAAUUAAGACUAUGACAACCACAAUGAGUAUAAAAGACUCUCGGAUUUAUGUCUAAAAAUUCUCUUUUGCACACCUUGGUUUUUUCCUUUCAUAUUGGACCCAUUAUCAUAACCUUGCCCUCUCACGUCAAAUAGGUCGAGACCAAGUUCUUUAAAUUCAUUUUGUAAAACAUCAAAAAGCCCCUGACCACUUGUAUCAUUCACAUUCAAAAAUCCUAAAAAUGAUUCUUCAAUACUAACAGAAGCUGAAGAAAUAUCCACAUAUCAUAUUAUCAAAGACAUCUGCUCUUGGUGACUAACAUCAGGAGUACAAUCAAGUAUCACUGAAAAAUACUUUGCCUGUUUGAUUUUUCUAAUGAUUUCAAUUUUAAUCGCAGAACCAAGCAAUGAAAUCUUGAAAAAUACUUUGCCUGUUUGAUUUUUCUAAUGAUUUCAAUUUUAAUCGCAGAACCAAGCAAUGAAAUCAACUCAUUCUGUAUGUUAUGCCCAAGAUAAUGAAUAUGAACUUUUUGAGUUGUAACAUGUCUAACAUGUUCUUGGAUGAUUGGGUCAAAUUCAGCUAACAUUUCAAUCAAACCCAAAAAGUUUCCAUUGCUAUCUUCGUACAAUUUCUCCUUAGAACCACGAAAGACUAAAUUAUGUUUAGCAAGAAAUUUUACUAUUGGAAUAACUCUUUUUAAAAUAUUUUUUCAGUGAUCCUUUUCUUUCUCAAUUAAUCUUUGAGUUGAUUUAUCAAUAGUUUGAAAUUUUUGCAGCCUUUUGCGAUACUCAUACCAAGUAGUCAUAUUUUUAACAUGUUCCAUGCCUAACUGGUUAUUGGUUAAUUCUUUCACCAACAUGUACCCAAUCAAUAUAACCCUCAUUUGCUAAUUGUCCCCUAACAAUCCCAUUUUUAAAAACUUUACAACAAAAACAAAAUACUCUAUCAAGCUCUUUCGAAUAAACAAGCCAAUCUCUAUCACACACCUCUCCAUUUGCUAAAGCUAUAGUAUACAAAUUAGCCNUAAAGCUAUAAGUAUACAAUUAGCCAUAAAACGUCUAUUCAAACUAUCUCUAUGACCCUUCACAAUAGAAUUAUCUCUUUUAGGAUCUUUCACAACUAAUAAAUCAAUCCGUUUAGGUUGCAGAGCGAUCCCAAUUUCUUGGAUCAAAUAUAUCAUAAUAACAUUAUCAUCAUCAUCAUCAUCAUCGACAUCAUCAUCAUUAUUAACUUCAUCAACAAUUGGCACACUAUCAAGAUUAUCAUUUUCAAUGGGCACACUAUUAAGAUAUCAUUUUCAAUGGACACACUAUCAAGAUUAUCAUUUUCAAUAAGUACACUAUCAAGAUUAUCAUUUUCAAUAGGCAAACUAUCAAUAUUAUCAACAUAACGACUUUCAUUUGAAACUUGUGGUUCUUUGAUUAAAAAUUUAGCAAGAGCUCCUACUUGAGAUUGAAUUAACUCUUCAAUUUUUUUUUUUUCUUACGUUUAUCAUUUUCACAUUCAAAUUUUCUAUUCUUAGGAGGCAUCUUAGGAGGCAUAAUAAGAAAAACCUGAAAUUUCUCACAUGUCUUUUGUGUCCGUCGAUGAUCUACUAAUUAUCCUGUUGUGAAUUGUGUUCCUACAUCAAUACAAAAAAACAAUUACAUUAAAUAAAAGAAAUUAUAAAUUAAUCAUAAAAAAAUAUUAAUAAUUAAAUUCAUGGAGAAAAGACUUUAAUUAAUAUUCAAUUAUAUUUUAUUAUGUUGUGUUCUUCUCAAUUAUGUACCAUAAAAAAUUAAUAAUAUAAAAGAAAAUUAUAAAUUAAUAGUAGAAAAUAAAUUACAUUUAAUUAAAUAAAUUAUAAAUUAAUCAUAAAAAAUAUCAACACUAAUACAUACUAAUUUUUCUUCGAAAGAUUCCAAAUUGCAAUUUGGUCUUAUGAGAAAAAGUAGGUAUAAAAAUUGUCACCAACACCAACAAUAUUCUUGUUUUGAAUUUUGAUACUACUGAUAGUAUAUACACUAUACUAGUAUCACAUUUCAUCCUAAAAUUAUUUAUUUAUAUAUUAUAAUUUUAUAAAGAACACAGUUACCCUCAUUUCCACCCUAAAAUCUAAAAUCUAAAAUCUAAAAUCUAAAAUCAAAUAUGAUACAGGAACUAAAAAGAUUUCACCCUAAAAUUUAAAAUAAAUCUAAAAUUACUAUUUUUCUACUUCAAAAUCAAAUAAUCACAAUAAAAUAAAUGGAAAGUAACUAAUUGAAUAAACUAACAUGAUAAAGAGAGGAUGAAAAGGAAAAAUAAGAUUUUUUCUGGUUUCAAACAACUCUAACAGAGAAAGAGAGAAAGAGAUAACGUUUGAGAGGAGAGAUAAGAAACGUGAUGAGAAAGGAGAAAAAAAACGUUUGGUUUCCAAAUAUCCUAUUUUUCAGAUUUAAUAUUUUAUUUAUUAUAUGUGAUACAAAAAUAUUUUUAUUAUUAAUUUUUUAUAUUCACUAAUAAUAGUUAUUUGAGGCCCCACAAAAGUGAGGCCCUGAGCUACUGCACAACUUGCACAGGAAAAGAACCGGCCCUGCAUAGAGGAGGUAGAGCUGGACGGGACAUAGAUUUUGAUGCAGAGCCCGAUGCUUAGAAGGAUAUAGAGACUCGGGCUAAGGCUCAGUCUGACAUUGAAGUGAAGGCCAGACUACGUUAAGAGGGGGGACCGACAUAGCAUCAAGAAUGAAAUGUCUGGUAAAAUGUACACAUGCGAUUAUGUGUUUUCUAAAAUUCUGGUUAAUGUAUUUUAUCGAUUAUUCAAAAACUUCGGUAACAUUUUUCAUAAUGUUUUAAAACUUGCUAGGUCUUAUUUAUUUUGUUUUUCUUUACGUAGUAAUGACCUGAGACGAAUUGCAUGAUUGCUUAUAGACGGACUGACAGAGCUGCAAAUAGCUCUUGUCGUGUAGGGGAUAAUGAGAAAUAUGAAUCACAUAUCUGGGAGGGUAAAUAGUCCUCACUUAUUCUCGUAGGAGUAGGAUGGUGAGAAGUUACGUGCACCCGUACUCUCCAGCAUUGAGGAGUAGAGCGUGACGAGGCAUAAAUUUUGAAGUAAAGCCCGAUGCUCAUAAGGAUAUAGAGACUCCUAUUCUUAAUUAAUCGCAUAUGGCGGCAUGCAUCUCUAUCUAGGGAGAGCAUGUGUGGUGGGUCUAGCGUAGCAAGCUCCUUGUCUAAGCCAAGGGUGCGACCUAUGGAGGUAAUCCCUCCUCCAAAUGAAAUGGGCCCUUCUCUACGGUGCAAACCGCUUGCAUUGUGGACCAACAUGAAAGGGUUUCUUCCCAUGCAGCGCUUUGUUUAAUGUCGAUAGCUCGACAAAACUAGUUAUAAAUAGAUGAAAUAAUCAAUAAUUUUUUAAGAAAUAAAUCAAUCAUUCAAAGACUUUCAAGUUUGAAGGGGGAAAUGGUGUACAAGUUCACUCAGAAUAAUUAUUCCUUAAACUCAUUAGGUCCCUCUCACCUCACUAACCUCUAUUAUCUAGCAAGUUAUAUCUACGAAUAGAGAGUUAGGUGAGCUACUUGAUUGCGUAGGCCUAAGGCUAAAGCAAUAUGAAUGAAAGUUCCGCCUCUGUUUGGUGUAAUUUUCAAUUUCACAAAAUAUCCGAUAUAAUUAUUUUAUUGAAAUAUAUUUGUAUAUUAAGGGUAAUAGAUAGUUUUGGUUUUUGAAAAUGAAUACAAAUAUAAUGUUAGAUUGAUAUGACUAGUAAAAUAGUCAAAAUAAAAAAGGGAAGUCAAAAAUUGAAAGAAGAAAAGGAAAUAGGGACAGAGUUGGAAUAUGGUAUAAAAUUUUGAGCAUUCAUUCUAUAAGAAAAUAAUCACAAGCAAUGUGAAAAAACUAGAUUAAUAUUAUUAAUGCCCUCAUUCUACAACCCCAUGAUGAUGCACUACCCUUACCUGUAUCAGAUCUUCUAUUCAAUUCAACAACUUGUUCCAUCCAUUUACUUCUUCUCAAAUUACCCAACCAAACAACUCUGAAUCAUACUCUUCUUUAAGCUUUGGAUUCGACAACGUCUUAUAAGCUCCAUUAACUUGUACAAGAUUUGGUUCUGCAUCUAUACAUUGUGUUUUGAUGAUUAACAAUGUUGUAUUGUUGGAACAGGUUUUGGUACCCUAAUGGUUUGUUAUUGCGUUCCAAAUCCGCUUAUGCGCUGCAAUUAGAAGUUCUGAAAGACGUCAAUAUUGUUGUUGCAAUGUUCUUUCUGCUUCUGUGUUAUUUCAGCCAUCAUAAGCUUUUGAGGAGACUCUUUAUUGUUGCUGCGAUGUUCUCUCAGUUCUUGCUUCUCGACGUGACUCUGAGCACCAACUUCUGAAGAAUGGGAAAACUUCUGAAGUUGGAUUAUGUAGCUGAAGUUUCUGAAAUCUCAAUACAGACGAUUAAAGUUAUCAAGGUCUGACUAAGGAUUCUCUAAGUUUACUGAAGAUUUGAAGAUACUGAGAACUCAAGCCAGACUACUGACGCUGUCAAGUUCUGACCAAGAUUCUGAAGUUUUUGAAUCUAGCUCUCUACUUCUUCACUUCAUGCUUCAAUCAUCUUUUAUAAAGCCAAUGAAUCUGAAGAUAAGUUCAAAUGGGAAUGUGAUCAAAUAGUACAUGGUACAAAAUCGAACAAUCUUUCGACUACCUGAUUUCGUGGGCAAGGAUUGUACUAUUCAUCACACCUGUCACUGCUUUUGUGGCGAAAGGAUAGUACGUUUAUCAUUCGUUUCCCAUCCAACAAUGGACAGGCUGCUCAAGGAACUUCUCCCAUUUUCCCCUUCAACGGUCACAUGCUUUGCUAUAUAAGCAUGCAUUGGAGACUUGAAGAAAAUGCUUAUUUUGCACAAGUAUUUGACAAGUUAUAUAUCUUUGUGGAAAACUAUCAUUCUUUGUAUACAGUUUCUUUAAGUAUUUUUUUAUUCAUUUGUGUAAAAUCUGAUUGUGUAGAAGCAUCUUGUAACACACAAACUAUUAGUCAAACUAUUUAUUUGAUUCCUUAAGGAGGUUAUCCUUGAGAAGACAAAGAAAGUUAUUCUUUGUGAGUCCUGAGGAGACUAAGGUUUAGUUGGAUCCUUGAGAAGACAAAAACUUGUUAGUGGUAUUUUUGUUUUGGAAAAAAUCUUUGCUUUUAAAACCCAUUCAAACCCCCAACUUCUUAUGUUUUUCACACCUUCAGUAGUGCUCUCACCCCUUGACAAGUCAAAUUUUUGGAAUUUUGGGACUCGUUUUCCACCAAAAUUCUAAAAAUUCCCUACUCUUCAUGAUCAUUUUCCUUUCGAUUCUUGUCCUUCUCAUUGAAACAAGCUUGCAAAGCAAUCUCCGCCUUUGUCUUAUCAGAAUUUCUCUCCUCCAUCCUUUGCUCAUGGCCUUUAGAGAGCUUUUCAACUCCUCUUUGUUAUUGUCGCAGGAUCCUUCGAUUCCUCAAUCGCCAUAACAAAACUGUCAAACCUUGGUGUUAAAGAAUACAAGAUUUUUGCGACAACAUACUGCUUCGUAACGUUUCUCCACAUGACUUCCUUAUUCACCAACCGAUUGAUACUCAGUUGUGAAUCAUUGAUUGUCUCCUUUUAUUCCAUUUGAAUCAAUUUGAUUAAGCUUGUGAGUUUGUAACCUCACUACAUUUGCCUUAUCAUCCCCUGCAUAGGCCCUUCUCUAAGAUCUUCCAUGCUUGCAUUGACGAUUCGCAAUCACCAACUUCUCAAAGUUGUUCACCAUCCACACAUUGAUGGAUCAAAAACAGCGCCUUGAAAUCUUUCUUCUUCUUUUCCUUACAUGUUGCUUGUUAUGCAUCCGUUGCCACAGCGACAAGAGGAUUCACCCAUUCUUGAUCACUUUAAGAAUAUCUGUAGCCAAACAACACUUUCAUUUCUUGCACAAUUGUCAUAAUUCUUCACAUCAAUGAUAGGUAGGUUUCAUGGAUCUCUUUAUUGGAAACAUAAUUCAUGUUGCACACUAGGUGUUUUGGAUCAGACCAGACUCUUGAUGCCAAAUAUUGGAACUUUGAACACAAGGUUGAGUGAACAAUGAUGGAGAAAUUUGGAAUGGGUAUAGUGAAAGGAAAAUUGAGAGAGAGGAGAGAGAAUAAUAAUUUGCAUUACUUUGGAUGAGAAUGCAGCCCACAUCUUUAAACAAGUAUUACAAUAUGAUUGUGACUAAAAAACAAACAAUUGCAUAACAGAAAAAGUGCAAAACUCAGACAUGUAACCAUUAUACCAAUUGGUUAACCGGAUAACACUGACAAAUGAAUUAAACUAGCUUCAGUGGUAACGCGUUAACAUCUUGAGAUUAGCCGGAUACAACUUCAAAAUCUUCACUUUUUUGCUUCAUCAGAAGUGCCUAUGACUUUGCUGUAACCGGUUACACCCUUUGUUAACCGAUUACAACACUUGAAAUUGCCAAUAUAACCUUUAUGAGAGUUAUUUUUAUAAAAAACUAUUAAUUUUGAUUGUUGUUGUGUUUUCCUCACAUAUCAAAUUAUAUAUAUAUUUUGUAAUCUUUCAAUUUCACAAAAUAUCCAAUUAAUUAUUUAUUGAAAUAUUUUGUAUAUUAAGGGUAAUAGAUUGUUUUGGUUUUUGAAAACAAAUAGAAAAUCUAAUGUUUAAAUUUAUAUGAAUAGUAAAAUAUGUCGAAAUAAAAAAGUGAAAGGAGAAAAGGAAAUAGGGGAUUAGAGAGAUGGGAAAAAGAUCCAAACAUAAAAAGAAGAAAUAAACUUUAUGAGUGAGUUUGUGGCGGUUCCAAAGCAUGAGAGGGAUGCUGGGGUGGUUUUGAGACAGAGUUGGAAUAUGGUGUAAAGUUUGAGUGUUCAUUCUACAAGAAAAACAAACAAGAGAAAUAAUCACAAGUAAUUGAAAAUAGUUACUAUUAUUCCUGGCCCUCAUUCUAGAACCCCAUGAUGAUGUUAUGCCCACUCUUACCUGUUUAGAAUUCUAUUCCAAAACUACACAACUUGUCCUCAUCCAUACUUCUUCUCAAUUACCCAAACCAAACAACUCUGAAUCAUACUCUUCUUUAAGCUUUGGAUUCGAAUCUCUCUUUAGGAGGCAUCUUAGGAGGCAUAAUAAGAAAAACCUGAAAUUUCUCACAAUGUCUUUUGUGUCCGUCGAUGAUCUACUAAUUAUCCUGUUGUGAAAUUGUGUUCCUACAUCAAUAACAAAAAAAAACAAUUACAUUAAAUAAAAGAAAUUAUAAAUUAAUCAUAAAAAAAUAUUAAUAAUUAAAUCAUGGAGAAAAGACUUUAAUUAAUAUUCAAUUAUAUUUUAUUAUGUUGUGUUCUUCUCUAAUAUUGUACCAUAAAAAAUUAAUAAUUAUAAAUUAAAAGAAAAUUAUAAAUUAAUAGUAAGAAAAUAAAUUACAUUUAAUUAAAUAAAUUAUAAAUUAAUCAUAAAAAAUAUCAACACUAAUACAUACUAAUUUUUCUUCGAAAGAUUCCAAAUUGCAAUUUGGUCUUAUGAGAAAAAGUAGGUAUAAAAAUUGUCACCAACACCAACAAUAUUCUUGUUUUGAAUUUUGAUACUACUGAGUAGUAUAUACACUAUACUAGUAUCACAUUUCAUCCUAAAAUUUUAUUUAUUUAUAUAUUAUAAUUUUAUAAAGAACACAGGUUACCCUCAUUUCCACCCUAAAAUCUAAAAUCUAAAAUCUAAAAUCUAAAAUCAAUAUUGAUACAGGAACUAAAAUAGGAUUUCACCCUAAAAUUUAAAAUAAAUCUAAAAUUACUAUUUUUUCUACCUUCAAAAUCAAAUAAUCACAAUAAAAANCUAAAAUCUAAAAUCAAUAUUGAUACAGGAACUAAAAUAGGAUUUCACCCUAAAAUUUAAAAUAAAUCUAAAAUUACUAUUUUUUCUACCUUCAAAAUCAAAUAAUCACAAUAAAAAUAAAUGGAAAGUAACUAAUUGAAUAAACUAACAUGAUAAAAGAGAGGAUUGAAAAGGAAAAAUAAGAUUUUUUUCUGGUUUCAAACAACUCUAACAGAGAAAGAGAGAAGAGAAUAACGUUUGAGAGGAGAGAUAAGUGAGAACGUGUGAGAAAGGAGAAAAAAAAACGUUUGGUUUCCAAAUAUCCUAUUUUUCAGCAUUUAAUAUUUUAUUUAUUAUAUGUGAUACAAAAAUAUUUUUAUUUAUUAAUUUUUUAUAUUCACUAAUAAUAGUUAAUUUGAGGCCCCACAAAAAGUGAGGCCCUGAGCUACUGCACAACUUGCACAGGAAAAGAACCGGCCCUGCAUAGAGGAGGUAGAGCUGGACGGGACAUAGAUUUUGAUGCAGAGCCCGAUGCUUAGAAGGAUAUAGAGACUCGGGCUAAGGCUCAGUCUGACAUUGAAGUGAAGGCUCAGACUACGUUAGAGGUGGCGACACUGACACAAAAGUCAAGUGAAAUGUCUGGUAAAAAUGUACACAUGCGUAUUAUGUUUUUCUAAAAUUCUGGUAAAGUGGUUAUUGGUUAUCCGAUUAUUCAAAAACUUCGGUAAAGCCAUGUUUUUCAUAAUGUUUUAAAAACUUGCUAGGUCUUAUUUAUUUGUUUUUUCUUUACGUAGUAAUGACCUGAGAACGAAAUUGCAUGAUUGCUUAUAGACGGACUGACAGAGCUGCAAAUAGCUCUUGUCGUGUAGGGGAUAAUGAGAAAUAUGAAUCACAUAUCUGGGAGGGUAGAAUAGUCCUCACUUAUUCUCGUAGGAGUAGGAUGGUUGAGAAGUUACGUGCACCCCGUACUCUCCAGCAUUGAGGAGGUAGAGCGUGACGAGGCAUAAAUUUUGAAGUAAAGCCCGAUGCUCAUAAGGAUAUAGAGACUCCUAUUCUUAAUUAAUCGCAUAUGGCGGCAUGCAUCUCUAUCUAGGGAGAGCAUGUGUGGUGGGUCUAGCGUAGCAAGCUCCUUGUCUAAGCCAAGGGUGCGACCUAUGGAGGUAAUCCCUCCUCCAAAUGAAAUGGGCCCUUCUCUACGGUGCAAACCGCUUGCAUGUGGACCAACAUGAAAGGGGUUUCUUCCCAUGCAGCGCUUUGUUUAAUGUCGAUAGCUCGACAAAACUAGUUUAAAUAAAGAGUAAAUAAUCAAUAAAUUUUUAAGAAAUAAUCAAUCAAUAUUCAAAACUAGUUUCAAGGUUUGGAAGGGGGAAAUGGUGUACAAGUUCACUCAGAAUUAGUUCCUUAAACUCAUUAGGUCCCUCUCACCUCACUAAACCUCUAUUAUCUAGCAAGUUAUAUCUACGAAUAGGAGUUAGGUGAGCUACUUGAUUGCGUAGGCCUAAGGCUAAAGCAAUAUGAAUGAAAGUUCCGCCUCUUUGUUUGGUGUAAUUUUUCAAUUUCACAAAAAUAUCCGAUUAAUUAUUUAUUGAAAUAUAUUUGUAUAUUAAGGGUAAUAGAUAGUUUUGGUUUUUGAAAAAUGAAUACAAAAUAUAAUGUUAGAUUGAUAUGACUAGUAAAAUAGUCAAAAUAAAAAAGGGAAGUCAAAAAUUGAAAGAAGAAAAGGAAAUAGGGAACAGAGUUGGAAUAUGGUAUAAAAUUUUGAGCAUUCAUUCUAUAAGAGAAAUAAUCACAAGCAAGUUGAAAAACUAGAUAAUAUUAUUAAUGGCCCUCAUUCUACAACCCCAUGAUGAUGCACUACCCUUACCUGUAUCAGAUCUUCUAUUCAAUUCAACAACUUGUUCCAUCCAUUUACUUCUUCUCAAAUUACCCAAACCAAACAACUCUGAAUCAUACUCUUCUUUAAGCUUUGGAUUCGACAACGUCUUAUAAGCUCCAUUAACUUGUACAAGAUUUGGUUCUGCAUCUAUACAUUGUGUUUUGAUGAUAACAAUGUUGUAUUUGUGUGAGAACAGUUUUGGUACCCUAAUGGUUUGUUAUUGCGUUCCAAAUCCGCUUAUGCGCUGCAAUUAGAAGUUCUGAAAGACGUCAAUAUUGUUGUUGCAAUGUUCUUUCUGCUUCUGUGUUAUUUCAGCCAUCAUAAGCUUUUGAGGAGACUCUUUAUUGUUGCUGCGAUGUUCUCUCAGUUCUUGCUUCUCGACGUGACUCUGAGCACCAAACUUCUGAAGAAUGGAAAACUUCUGAAGUUGGAUUAUGUAGCUGAAGUUUCUGAAGAUCUCAAUACAGACGAUUAAAGUUAUCAAGGUUCUGACUAAGGAUUCUCAAGAUUCUGAAGAUUUGAAGAUACUGAAGAACUCAAGCCAGACUACUGACGCUGUCAAGGUUCUGACCCAAGAUUCUGAAGUUUUUGAAUCUAGCUCUCUACUUCUUCACUUCAUGCUUCAAUCAUCUUUUAUCAGAAGCCAAUGAAUCUGAAGAUAAGUUCAAAUGGGAAUGUGAUCAAAUAGUACAUGGUACAAAUCGAACAAUCUUUCGACUACCUGAUUUCGUGGGCAAGGAUUGUACUAUUCAUCACACCUGUCACUGCUUUUGUGGGCGAAAGGAUAGUACGUGGUAUCAUUCGUUUCCCAUCCAACAAUGGACAGCUGCUCAAGGAACUUUCCCCAUUUUCCCCUUCAACGGUCACAUGCUUUGCUAUAUAAGCAUGCAUUGGAGACUUGAAGAAAAUGCUUAUUUUGCACAAGUAUUUUGACAAGUUAUAUAUCUUUGUGAAAAACUAUCAUUCUUUGUAUACAGUUUUCUUUAAGUAUUUUUUUAUUCAUUUGUGUAAAAAUCUGAUUGUGUAGAAGCAUCUUGUAACACACAAACUAUUAGUCAAACUAUUUAUUUGAUUCCUUAAGGAGGUUAUCCUUGAGAAGACAAAGAAAGUUAUUCUUUGUGAGUCCUUGAGGAGACUAAGGUUUAGUUGGAUCCUUGAGAAGACAAAAACUUGUUAGUGGUAUUUUUGUUUUGGAAAAAAUCUUUUGCUUGUAAAACCCAAUUCAAACCCCCAACUUCUUAUGUUUUUCACACCUUCAGUAGCUGCUCUCACCCCUUUGACAAGUCAAAUUCUUGGAAUUUUGGGACUCUUUUCCACCAAAAUUCUAAAAAUUCCCUUUACUCUUCAUGGAUCAUUUUCCUUUCGAUUUCUUGUCCUUCUCAUUGAAACAAGCUUGCAAAGCAAUCUCCGCCUUUGUCUUAUCAGAAUUUCUCUCCUCCAUCCUUUGCUCAUGAGCCUUUAGAGAGCUUUUCAACUCCUCUUUGUUUAUUGUCGCAGGAUCCUUCGAUUCCUCAAUCGCCAUAACAACAUUGUCAAACCUUGGUGUUAAAGAAUACAAGAUUUUUGCGACAACAUACUGCUUCGUAACGGUUUCUCCACAUGACUUCACUUUAUUCACCAACCGAUUGAUACUCAUUGUGAAAUCAUUGAUUGUCUCCUUUUAUUCCAUUUGAAUCAAUUUGAGUUAAGGCUUGUGAGUUUGUAACCUCACUACAUUUGCCUUAUCAUCCCCUGCAUAGGCCUUCUCUAAGAUCUUCCAUGCUUGCAUUGACGAUUCGCAAUCACCAACUUUCUCAAAGUUGUCACCAUCCACACAUUGAUGGAUCAAAAACAGCGCCUUGAAAUCUUUCUUCUUCUUUUCCUUACAUGUUGCUUGUUAUGCAUCCGUUGCACCAGCGACAAGAGGAUUCACCCCAUUCUUGAUCACUUUAAGAAUAUCUUGGUAGCCAAACAACACUUUCAUUUGCUUGCACAAUUUGUCAUAAUUCUUCACAUCAAUGAUAGGUAGGUUUUCAUGGAUUCUUUUAUUGGAAACAUAAUUCAUGUUGCACACUAGGUGUUUGUGGAUCAGAACCAGACUCUUGAUGCCAAAUAUUGGAACUUUGAACCACAAGGUUGGUGAACAAUGAUGGAGAAAUUUGGAAUGGGUAUAGUGAAAAGGAAAAUUGAGAGAGAGGGAGAGAGAAUAAUAAUUUGCAUUACUUUGGAUGAGAAUGCACCCAACAUCUUUAAACAAGUAUUACAAUAUGAUUGUGAUAAAAAACAAACAAUUGCAUAACAGAAAAAGUGCAAAACUCAGACAUGUAACCAUUAUACCAUUUGGUUAACCGGAUACAACUGACAAAUGAAUUAAACUAGCUUCAGUGGUAACCGGUUAACAUCUGAGAUUAGCCGGAUACAACUUCAAAAUCUUCACUUUUUUGCUUCAUCAGAAGUGCCUAUGACUUUGCUGUAACCGGUUACACCCUUUGUUAACCGAUUACAACACUUGAAAUUGCCAAUAUAACCUUUAUGAGAGUUAUUUUUAUAAAAAACUAUUAAUUUUGAUUGUUGUUGUUGUUUUUCCUCACAUAUCAAAAUAUAUAUAUAUAUUUUGUAAUCUUUCAAUUUCACAAAAAUAUCCAAUUAAUUAUUUAUUGAAAUAUUUUUGUAUAUUAAGGGUAAUAGAUUGUUUUGGUUUUUGAAAAACAAAUAGAAAAUCUAAUGUUAAAUUUAUAUGAAUAGUAAAAUUGUCGAAAUAAAAAAGUGAAAGGAGAAAAGGAAAUAGGGGAUUAGAGAGAUGGGAAAAAGAUCCAAACAUAAAAAGAAGAAAUAAACUUUAUGAGUAGAGUGUUGUGGCGGUUCCAAAGCAUGAGAGGGAUGCUGGGGGUGGUUUUGAGACAGAGUUGGAAUAUGGUGUAAAGUUUGGAGUGUUCAUUCUACAAGAAAAACAAUACAAGAGAAAUAAUCACAAGUUAAUUGAAAAACUAGUUACUAUUAUUCCUGGCCCUCAUUCUAGAACCCCAUGAUGAUGAUGAUGCACCACUCUUACCUGUUUGAGAUUUUCUAUUCAAUUCAACAACUUGUUCCAUCCAUUUACUUCUUCUCAAAUUACCCAAACCAAACAACUCUGAAUCAUACUCUUCUUUAAGCUUUGGAUUCGACAGCGUCUUAUAAGCUUCAUUAACUUGUACAAACAUCUUGGUUGAUUCCUCUUUCUUCAAACCAUCACGACAAACAUCAGGAUGAUACUGAAGAGCCAUUGUUCUAUAUGCUCUUUUUAUAUCAUCUGUUGUGGCUGUAUUGGAACUCAAACAUAGUAUCUUGUACAAGUUUCCAUCACUUUUUGUGGCUCUGCAUGUAACUGAAAACUGUUUUGCACGAGGUUGUGUUUGAUGAUUAUUUGAAAGUGGAAGAUUAUGAUGAUGUUUGUAUGGUUUUGAAAUGUUGAUUAGGCUUGAGCUUGAGUUGAAGGAUAAUAAAACAUCCAUCUUGUUUCUUGUUUUUCUCUAUGUUUUUGAGAAUGAAUGUGGGUGUUCAAUUAUUUAUAGACAGAAGAAUGUUAUUUCAAA